This 1007-nucleotide long non-coding RNA is filed under the name Equus caballus (horse). RNAcentral's name for it is "lncRNA (ENSECAG00000059050.1)". Lineage: Eukaryota; Metazoa; Chordata; Mammalia; Perissodactyla; Equidae. The record is from RNAcentral.
GUCGCCUUCACAUCAUUUGCUGGGUAGUCAGAACAGGAGACACAGAACACAGAUCUGGUUACUCAGAGGCACUUUCUCCAGGGCAGUCCUCUGAGUAGCUGCAGAAGCAUCUGACCGCCACUGGCUGACAUUACAGCUGACCCAUUUUAGACCCUUUCUCACAGGAAGAGGAAGGAAAGAGCAGAAAAAAGAAAACAACGGAGCCACGGGGCUGCACCUCUGGGGUCACUGUCACUGCUUUACCUGCCAUUUCCGUGGAAAGGACAGGCAGGCGAGCCAGCGCGCAGAGCGUUCCCGCCUCCACGUCUGAGCGGAUCCAGGAGCAGCAACAAUGAUGAGGUCGGAUGCUCCCGCGAUGCCCUGGUCACCGCCCUCCUUUCCGAGGGCCUUUGUGAAGUGCGGGCCUCGACCCGGAGGAAGCCUCCUCCCAGGGCUCCGGCCGCACCUGCGGGCUCCGCGGGGACGACCCCGUUACCCACACACAACCCCUCCACGGUCCUUUGAUUCCUCGUUAGAUGUUUCUGUUUGGAGACAUUUCUGUAACAAGUAACGCCAUUUAAGAAGGGAUUCACUUGUUUACUAAAACAGCAAACUAGCUUUUUUAAGAGAAGUAACCUGCCUGGGCCUCCCAAGCGACCCUGGCUCCUUAAUCAGGGCAAAGUCCUAAAGGCUCUCUGAUGACACUGAGGCCUCCUCCCCAGCCCGCGCCUCCCUCUGGACGACGAGCAAAGCCCCUUGCAGGCGGGGACCACUGAGGGUCAGUUAACUCCAGGAUGUACUUAUUUAUUCCAACACGCACACCAGUAUAGACUCAUCCAUAUAGCUCGUAUGUGAAUAUUAUCAUAUUCAUAUAUUAUUUUUAUAUAGUAUUAUAUUAAAGGUACAUAACGCUUUUUUAAUUUUAUUUUUAUCAUUCUCUACCCUUUGUCAGCUGCUGAGAUGCACUGGUACAGGCCGUUAUUGUCAUAGUCUUUGCCAUUUACCAUAAAUCCUUUCACCACUCCUCC